GAUGAACGCUGGCGGCGUGCCUAAUACAUGCAAGUCGAGCGAACAGACGAGGAGCUUGCUCCUCUGAUGUUAGCGGCGGACGGGUGAGUAACACGUGGAUAACCUACCUAUAAGACUGGGAUAACUUCGGGAAACCGGAGCUAAUACCGGAUAAUAUAUUGACCCGCAUGGUUCAAUAGUGAAAGACGGUUUUGCUGUCACUUAUAGAUGGAUCCGCGCCGCAUUAGCUAGUUGGUAAGGUAACGGCUUACCAAGGCAACGAUGCGUAGCCGACCUGAGAGUGUGAUCGGCCACUGUUGAACUUAGACACGGUCCAGACUCCUACGGGAGACAGCAGUAGGGAAUCUUCCGCAAUGGGCGAGAGCCUGACGGCGCAACGCCGCGUGAGUGAUGAAGGUCUUCGGAUCGUAAAACACUGUUCUGAGAGAAAAACAAAUGUGUAAGUAGCUAUGCACGUCUUGACGGUACCUAAUCAGAAAGCCAGGGCUAACUACGUG
This 497-nucleotide ribosomal RNA is filed under the name uncultured bacterium. Its description in RNAcentral is "partial 16S ribosomal RNA". It matches the Rfam family "Bacterial small subunit ribosomal RNA", at positions 28 to 507 of the family's 1533-position model. The record is from RNAcentral.